GAUGAACGCUGGCGGCGUGCCUAAUACAUGCAAGUCGAGCGAACGGACGAGAAGCUUGCUUCUCUGAUGUUAGCGGCGGACGGGUGAGUAACACGUGGAUAACCUACCUAUAAGACUGGGAUAACUUCGGGAAACCGGAGCUAAUACCGGAUAAUAUUUUGAACCGCAUGGUUCAAAAGUGAAAGACGGUCUUGCUGUCACUUAUAGAUGGAUCCGCGCUGCAUUAGCUAGUUGGUAAGGUAACGGCUUACCAAGGCAACGAUGCAUAGCCGACCUGAGAGGGUGCGCGGCCACAGUGGAACUGAGACACGGUCCAGACUCCUACGGGAGGCGGAAGUAGGGAAUCUUCCGCAAGGGGCGAAAGCCUGACGGAGCAACGCGGCGGGAGUGAUGAAGGUCUUCGGAUAGUAAAACUCUGUUAUUGGGGAAGAACAAAUGUGUAAGUAACUGUGCACAUCUUGACGGUACCUAAUCAGAAAGCCACGGCUAACUACGUG
Molecule: ribosomal RNA, 497 nt
Filed under: uncultured bacterium
Lineage: Bacteria
Description: partial 16S ribosomal RNA
Rfam family: Bacterial small subunit ribosomal RNA
Source: RNAcentral